RNAcentral lists this long non-coding RNA (630 nucleotides) under Helianthus annuus (common sunflower). Lineage: Eukaryota; Viridiplantae; Streptophyta; Magnoliopsida; Asterales; Asteraceae. The record is from RNAcentral.
GUUGGGUUUUGGAAUUAGUGACAGAGUUUUGGGAGUUUUGUGGGUGUUUGCAGAUGAAAUGCUGCACAGACAGGACAAUUCGGAGGUAGAAGAAAGACAGAGGGGUAUGAGUGGACCUAAAGAUUUUCGAACAUUUUCGGAGACGGCCCUGACCGCGGGCACGGAACCACCCCAAUACAGAGGUACAAACAGUACAACAUGAAAGGGGUGCACAACCAAUCAACACUCGCCAGGCUCUACGCUAGUCGCCGACACGAUACGCGAUCGUGCAGGGAACAAGUAUUACAACCGACAAUGGCGUGUGGCAAAUCAACGUGCACCAUGUCACCUCCUCUCAACCUCCACUAACAGUUGAUGGCAAUCGAGACAAGAACUAUAUCAUGAAAGUGACGUGUGGCCAAUCACGACGCACGAUCGUACUCCCACCUCUAGGGACACUAAUUAUCACGACAUAGGGGACCAAAUGGAUGUUCCUGUUCCUUGAUAGCGACGUCUGGCCGAAUCAACCCAUCUCCUUCUCCAACCAUUCGACUAUAAAUGCCAACCUCCGCCAAAGAUCGAUUAUGAAGAUAACACUUCGUGUUGAUUAAAGAGAAUCAGAAGAGUUAACACCAGUUGAAACACCUUUAU